AGUGAACGCUGGCGGUAGGCCUAACACAUGCAAGUCGAACGGCAGCACAGUAAGAGCUUGCUCUUACGGGUGGCGAGUGGCGGACGGGUGAGGAAUACAUCGGAAUCUACUUUUUCGUGGGGGAUAACGUAGGGAAACUUACGCUAAUACCGCAUACGACCUACGGGUGAAAGCAGGGGAUCUUCGGACCUUGCGCGAUUGAAUGAGCCGAUGUCGGAUUAGCUAGUUGGCGGGGUAAAGGCCCACCAAGGCGACGAUCCGUAGCUGGUCUGAGAGGAUGAUCAGCCACACUGGAACUAAGACACGGUCCAGACUCCUACGGGAGGCAGCAGUGGGGAAUAUUGGACAAUGGGCGCAAGCCUGAUCCAGCCAUACCGCGUGGGUGAAGAAGGCCAUCGGGUUGUAAAGCCCUUUUGUUGGGAAAGAAAAGCAGCAGGUUAAUACCCCGCUGUUCUGACGGUACCCAAAGAAUAAGCACCGGCUAACUUCGUG
This 492-nucleotide ribosomal RNA is filed under the name uncultured bacterium. RNAcentral's name for it is "partial 16S ribosomal RNA". It matches the Rfam family "Bacterial small subunit ribosomal RNA", at positions 29 to 507 of the family's 1533-position model. The record is from RNAcentral.